AGUGAACGCUGGCGGUAGGCCUAACACAUGCAAGUCGAACGGCAGCACAGUAAGAGCUUGCUCUUACGGGUGGCGAGUGGCGGACGGGUGAGGAAUACAUCGGAAUCUACUUUUUCGUGGGGGAGAACGUAGGGAAACUUACGCUAAUACCGCAUACGACCUACGGGUGAAAGCAGGGGAUCUUCGGACCUUGCGCGAUUGAAUGAGCCGAUGUCGGAGUAGCUAGUGGGCGGGGUAAAGGCCCACAAAGGCGACGAUCCGUAUCUGGUCUGAGAGGAUGAUCAGCCACACUGGAACUGAGACACGGUCCAGACUCCUACGGGAGGCAGCAGUGGGGAAUAUUGGACAAGGGGCGCAAGCCUGAUCCAGCCAUACCGCGUGGGUGAAGAAGGCCUUCGGGUUGUAAAGCCCUUUUGUUGGGAAAGAAAAGCAGCAGGUUAAUACCCCGCUGUUCUGACGGUACCCAAAGAAUAAGCACCGGCUAACUUCGUG
This 492-nucleotide ribosomal RNA is filed under the name uncultured bacterium. RNAcentral's name for it is "partial 16S ribosomal RNA". It matches the Rfam family "Bacterial small subunit ribosomal RNA", at positions 29 to 507 of the family's 1533-position model. The record is from RNAcentral.